GAUGAAGAACGCAGCGAAAUGCGAUAAUUAAUGUGAAUUGCAGAAUUCAGUGAAUCAUCGAGUCUUUGAACGCACAUUGCGCCCCCUGGUAUUCCGGGGGGCAUGCCUGUCCGAGCGUCAUUGCUGCCCUCAAGCCCGGCUUGUGUGUUGGGCCCUGCUCCCCCGGGGGCAGGCCCGAAAGGCAGUGGCGGCACCGCGUCCGAUCCUCGAGCGUAUGGGGCUUUGUCACCCGCUCUGUAGGCCCGGCCGGCGCUUGCCGACCCCCAUCAAUCUUUUUUCAGGUUGACCUCGGAUCAGGUAGGGAUACCCGCUGAACUUAAGCAUAUCAAUAGCGGAGGA
Molecule: unclassified non-coding RNA, 339 nt
Filed under: soil metagenome
Description: partial contains 5.8S ribosomal RNA, internal transcribed spacer 2, and large subunit ribosomal RNA
Rfam family: 5.8S ribosomal RNA (bases 1-120)
Source: RNAcentral